Long non-coding RNA from Ornithodoros turicata, 1211 nucleotides. RefSeq lists it as uncharacterized. The record is from RefSeq and is a predicted model, not a curated record. NCBI's taxonomy places the organism in Eukaryota, Metazoa, Arthropoda, Arachnida, Ixodida, Argasidae. The transcript is spliced from 3 exons.
CGCAAUAGUGGAAAGAGCCAAGCAAGACAUGAAGUCGACGUUAACAGAAGAGCCGUCUCUGCCUGCUCCCGAAGCCUACAAGAGCGAAAUUGUUUCUCUAGUCCGGAAUCACGUGGACGAAAGCAUCCUAGCCGAAAUGCCCAGCUUUGCCACGCUGAAGUCAAGUAUGUACAGGGUAAAGCGGCGUCACGUUCCCCCCUUACCUGCAACGGCUGAGGAGGUUCGCCUGCAGGGUGACAACGUCAAGACAGUAGACGGCAAGCCUUUUCUGCUUUUUGACGAAGCGUGUGCCGUGGGACGCAUGAUUUGCUUUGCGACCGAAGAUGGACUGAAGCACUUAGAGGAAGCAAAUGAACUGUUCGUAGACGGGACGUUCUUCGUUUGCCCAUCAGUUUUCUCCCAGCUCACGACCGUCAGCGUCGUUGCGGGGGGUAUCCAUUGUACGGUAGCGUACAUUCUUCUCCCAGGAAAAUGGAGGGAUGUAUAUGAUGCUGCCCUGUCUGAGCUUGUGCGCUGUAUGGUUGGGCUCGGAUUUUCCUGUCCUGCACCGACAUUUGUGCGAAGCGACUUCGAAACAGCCCUCAUACAGGCACUGACUGACACGGGCUUUCCCCAACUCAAGACAUCGGGGGUGUCAUUUUCAUUUCGCACAGGCUGUGUGGCGAAAUGUGCAGCGUCUAGGCCUGUCUGCAGCUUACAUGAACGAUGCAAGUGUACGCAGCUUCAUCAGGAAGUGCAUCGCAAUCGCCUUCGUUCCGCCGCCGUCGGUACACGCGGCAUGGAGAAUGGUGAAGGAAGAAGCACCCACAACGGACCAAGGGUCAGACUUCGUACGGUAUUUUGAGGACACCUGGAUGAUCGGCCGCUAUGACACCACCCAAUGGAAUCAGUAUGGGAACCGCGGGGCCCGGACCAACAACAUGAAGGAAGCAUGGCACAGGAAAAUCAACAACGUCGCGAGAACGGGCCACCCGAACAUCUACAAGUUUGUGGAGAUCCUGAAGCGCGACGAGGCGGAAGUCAGGACAGCGCUACUGCAAGCACGCAAUGGAGCAGAGCAAAGAAAGCGUCAGAAGAAGUGGGAAAGGAAGGAUUCCAACAUUGCAAGCCUGGAACAACAGCUACAGUCAAGAACGCUUACCCUUGAAUCGUACCUUAGUGCAUGUAGACAAUUUUGUGGCAUAUAAGUUGCAUUGUGUAAAGAAAAUAAA